Molecule: long non-coding RNA, 457 nt
Organism: Solanum stenotomum
Lineage: Eukaryota; Viridiplantae; Streptophyta; Magnoliopsida; Solanales; Solanaceae
Exons: 3
Source: RefSeq, a predicted model, not a curated record
AGAUACCAAGACUCGCUUCAAUAUGGUGGCGCAUAACAGAGUUGAAUAAUUCCAUGUUGCCAUCAUUUUUCUUGAAAUUUAAAGAACGGGAAGGUAACUCCUGAGGAUUUCCUGUUGAUACAUACAUCUUCUAGAGGGAGGGACAAAGAUCAUGGUUACAAAUACUGUCAGUUGUGCAGGACAAAUAUUUCUAUUGUGCGACUGGUUCUCCUGUAUUCUCACAUUUGUCAAAGGUCAAGCUUCCUCUUAGGGCCGAUGAUAUGUCCUUGGGACUCUCUUAACCAGAUACGGAGAUGCUAUGUCUAUGCUAUACUCAGUAGCUGCAAGAUUAGAGCCGGCAUUGCACCUGUGUCUGAUGCCAUCUUUACAAAGUAUAGUGAUUUUACAGCCAACUCUACGCCUAUUCAAGUGCAAAUCCACGAGAGCUUAAUCCCUUCCUCAAGGUAAUAUGCAAUAC